UGAGAAAGAAGAUUAAGAAAAACAAUUACUAUAAGUAUGGAAUUUCUAAAUAAAAUGAAGGCAAGUAAAAUUUAAUAAUGUAUUAAAAGUGUGUGUGUGUGUGUGUGUGUGUUCCUUUAUCAGCCGUGAUUGACAUCUGGAAUCCAUGGGUGUCUCAA
This 158-nucleotide small RNA is filed under the name Marmota monax (woodchuck). The record is from RNAcentral. Lineage: Eukaryota; Metazoa; Chordata; Mammalia; Rodentia; Sciuridae.